AUAGCGUAUAUUAAAGUUGUUGCAGUUAAAAAGCUCGUAGUUGAAUUUUUGGUGGAGCCAUCCUGUCCUUCACUUGGUGUUGGCACUUGGUUGGUUCUCUGCCCUCCUUGGCUGGAGCCAGCAUGGCAUUUGGUUGUCGUGUUGGGGACGGUCAUCUUUUACUGUGAAGAAAUUAGAGUGUUCAAAGCAGGCUUAGGCCUUGAAUACAUUAGCAUGGAAUAAUGAAAUAGGGUUUUGGCACUAUUUUGUUGGUUUGCGCGCCGAAACAAUGAUUAAUAGGGACAGUUGGGGGUAUUCGUAUUCAAUUGUCAGAGGUGAAAUUCUUGGAUUUCUGGAAGACGAACAACUGCGAAAGCAUUUACCAAGGAUGUUUUCAUUAAUCAAGAACGAAAGUUAGGGGAUCGAAGAUGAUUAGAUACCAUCGUAGUCUUAACCAUAAACUAUGCCGACUAGGGAUUGGCGGUUGUUUCAUUUUGACUCCGUCAGCACCUUAUGAGAAAUCAAAGUGUUUGGGUUCCGGGGGGAGUAUGGUCGCAAGGCUGAAACUUAAAGAAAUUGACGGA
RNAcentral lists this ribosomal RNA (563 nucleotides) under Melosira sp. RNAcentral describes it as "SSU rRNA". It matches the Rfam family "Eukaryotic small subunit ribosomal RNA", at positions 594 to 1160 of the family's 1831-position model. The record is from RNAcentral. Lineage: Eukaryota; Bacillariophyta; Melosirophyceae; Melosirales; Melosiraceae.